GUGGAACAAGGUGCAUUGUGAGGUAAGAGAUGAUGUAAUAGCAAAGUAGUAAGAUGAAUAAUACAGCUUCUGAACUCUAGGACCUUUGCGAUCAUGACGACAGGAAUAGUAAUGGGAUGUGGGAUGCGUGAUUUGAUAGCACCUGAGACAUGCAUGAACAUGACCUCAAAUGUCCUUCGAAGCAAAACUGAUCCAGGGCUGAGUAUGUGGCUUGAUCAAUUUUGACACCCCUCCUCCAAAAGAUUUCCCCUUCUUGCUUGGAAACUCAUUGCCCCUGCAGGCUGGCCUUGAUUGUUUGUCAGCACCAAGGUGCAGGGGCUGUUGUAAGGCAAAAUCAAACUGCAGAUUGCUUUCUUGAAGAAGGCCACGCAACAGCUGCCUCGCGAAGGCAGAACUCUCCAAAGUGAUGUUUGUGAUUUCUUGGCUUCAAAGGGCUGUGUGGGGCUGCGUUGGCUGGCUGGGCCUCUUUCAUCUUUCUCAUUAUUUCCUGAGUGAAACGGCAGGAAUCAGAACAAGCCUUGAUUGGUUCUGAUUUAAAUGGAACUCCGGGAACGACACUCUGAUUCUUUCUCUUAAUUGGAACUUUUCUCUCUCUUGUUUUGGGCUUUGCCAUGCGUGCUGUCAAUUUGAUACCGCCUGCUGGAAUCCUCAUAGGGUUUGGAUUUAUAAAUAUGGAAAUUAUGUAAUUUCUCCUUUUAUGUCACUGCUUUCUGAGUUUUUAUUAACAUUGCUCAUUUCCCCCCCUUUAUGCCUAGUGGCUUUACUGAAACUUUCUGUUCUUUGAAAUAACAUUCUAGUUUAAAAGGUUCAGUCCAAAGUUGCUGGAAGGCAAGGCAAUGAAAAAGUUGGGAGUGUUGGACAUGGUGACACUACUGAAGGCAGCUUUCAAAAUGUUAAUAGUAAUAUAAAGAGAAAGAAAGAAAGAAAGAAAGAAAGAAAGAAAGAAAGAAAGCAAGCAAGCCACCAUGGGUCCGAGAAUAACUGAAUUCUAUGCAAAGACUAAUCUCAAAAAGUUGUAGUUAUAGGGGAAUCAUCUUUUUUUUUUCUUAAAAAAAAUGUUUCUAGAUCCCACUAUUACAGAAAUUGCUUCAUAAUACAAUUCUCAAGUCUUCCAAAAUAAUUAAUGUUUUUUAAACAUUUGGUUCUUAUAAUUUUUUGACCUGCUAAGUCUUUUUAUACUGUACUUUGCAAAACUAUAAUACUUAGAGUCACUGUUAUUUAUUUGAAAGAUUUCUAGGCUGCCCUAUAGGCCAAUGUCAUGAAUGGAUUCAUGCCAGUGACAUGAAAAUGAUCAGUUUCAGGUUUGAAAUCCACUUCUGGGACUUUCAGUAAAUUGGAAGAAGUGGCUGCAAUGUGCUCUAAAUAUUAAUUUAAUAAUUCUUUGAUGUUUUAACUACCUGAUUUUCUUUCUGUCUCUCUUAUAUGGCUUUCUCCUUUCCAGUUAAUGGCAGACCUCCUUGGCUUAAACUCGACAAACUAUAUCAAAUUGUGAAGAUUAAAAUUUUGAAGAUUUAUUUGCUUUGCUCACAAGAGAUGCUUUUUUCUUUACGUGUGUUUGCAAUAUAAUGUUCAGUCACUAGAUGGCUCUAUGUGCUCUGUGGAGUUAAAGAGAGGGUGUGUCCUUUAUAGACAAAGAAGCGAGAAGCAGCUCAAGGUGUGUGGAAAGGCAUUUUUUUGUUCGCAGGUAAAACUGAUGACAAAGACCCAUACCUUGUACAAUGAGCAGUUCAAGACCUGGCCAGAAUCUCCAUUUUUUUACUCUAACACAAUAGCAGCAAUCUUCAUUUCCAUUUAGUGAAAGAUGGAAGAUGUUUUCCAGUACUGUACAUUCGCUUAUACCACCAUUAUGCCAAAGAGGUAUGAUUCUUUGCAUAUACAUGUAUUUCCAAGAUCUUUCAAUCCCCAGCGAACAAGGGAAGGUGUGAAAAGUGUAAUCUUCUUAAAGGAUUUAUUUGUGUUUUGCAAAGGGUGUAAAGCUGACGAAAGGGCCCUGCUCCAGGUCAUCCUCUGCUUUUCUUUCCAUCUGCCUGCACUUAUCCCGUGUCAGUCGCUACACAGCCUCAGCAUGCUACUCACAGCGGUGCAGUUACCCAUUGCUGCAUCUUUGCGCAAAACUAAUGACAUUUUCACCAGUUUAAUCCUGGACAAAAGGUGGUUCCCAUAGCAGGCCAUAGUGAAAAGGGUUAAAUUGUUCACUCUGGCCAAAAUCGCCUCUUUUAUUAUAAAAUAUGUAUGAAGUAAUUUCUCAGAGCACAUGAAGCUCACUCUCUAUAUAGUGAAACCACAUGGUCUAGUGUUGCCCUACACCUGGGAUUUCUUGGACACGUCUGGUUUUGGGGAACCAGCACCCCCAUCCGGGCAGAUUUUUGCAUUUUGGAUUAAAUGUCCGGGUUUGCGUUUUUAAUAUUUUUUUGUUUUUGUUUUUGUUUUUGUUUUAAUUGUGAGGCAUGCACAUGCUCAGAAGGCACUGUGUCCAGGAACAGGAAGCAGGCAUCAGGUGGUCUGGAGCAGCUUGCCGGGGGUUGCACUAGGUCUGGUGUUCCUGGCUGCCGCCAAGCCUUGCACUGUCUUCCUGGGGCUGCGCUGGUCCCUGCAGUCACCUGGCCUUGCGUGGCCUUCUAGGGGCCACUCAGCCUCUCUUAUUGUGAGCAGGAGGCCGAAGACAGCAGAGAGGGGAGGGAAAAAGGGGGGAGCAAGCGGGUGAGGAAGAAAGAAGAAGAAGAGUUUGGAUUUGAUAUCCCACUUCACUACCCGAAGGAGUCUCAAAGCGGCUAACAUUCUCCUUUCCCUUCCUCCCCCACAACAAACACUCUGUGAGGUGAGUGGGGCUGAGAGACUUCAGAGAAGUGUGACUAGCCCAAGGUCACCCAGCAGCUGCAUGUGGAGGAGCGGUGAACCCAGUUCCCCAGAUUACAAAUCUACCGCUCUUAACCACUACACCACACUGGAAGGGGAGGGUUAGUGGCAGGGAGGGGGUGAGUGAGGGAGAUACGGGAUGAUGGGGGGUGUCUGGAUCGUGGUGAUGGGGAGUGUCCAGGUUUUUGAUCCCCGGAAUGUGGCAUCCCACAUCCAAACCUAUUUUGCUUCCUGCCACAGCUGACACAAAUGGGGAUAGAAGAGCCUGCAAUCACAUAUUUUACUCAUUGAAGCAAUAUUUCCUUUCUCGUCCGAAAUCUUUUGACAGUCAUGGCAAAUUAUAAAUACCUGUGCCUUUUCCGGCGUCUUUGCAAGAAUACAGAAAAUAUGAAGUGGCAUUAGAGAAGAAGAAGAAGAAGAGUUUGGAUUUGAUAUCCCGCCUUUCACUCCCUUUAAGGAGUCUCAAAGCGGCUAACAUUCUCCUUUCCCUUCCUCCCCCACAACAAACACUCUGUGAGGUGAGUGGGGCUGAGAGACUUCAGAGAAGUGUGACUGGCUCAAGGUCACCCAGCAGCUGCAUGUGGAGGAGCGGAGACAUGAACCCGGUUCCCCAGAUUACGAGACUACCGCUCUUAACCACUACACCACACUGGCUCCUCUGGUUGUGCUUACUGUUGGCAAGGCCAUGGUCCUGUGUUCAGAGCUUUGUGUGAUAACUGAAUAUUCUUUUUAGGCUUUCUUUUUCUUUUUUUGCUGAGAAGGAAGAAGCAACAGAUAUUAUUGCUUGGUAUGAAUCAAUUUGCAGCUGAUAGUAAUAUUCAUUUAUUUCGGUAGUGCUCCCAGUGUGCGUGGCAUUUUACAAGGCUAUAAGAGGACAGGUCUGUGUCCCGGGGGACUUUCAGUUUAAAAUUUGACAAGGGGAAACAACAGAAAAAGGGGGUGGAAAUGGAGGCUGGGGGUAAAAGGGACGCACUGUGUGUUUUUUUUCAAUUGCACUUUCUGAGACUCAGCUAUAAAUUGGGUUACAUUAGGGGAAGGCUGACUAAACUGUUUCUCUCCAGAUGUUGCUGGAUUACAACGCACAUCAUCUCUAUUUGCCAUAUUGGUUGGGUCUGAGCUGAAGCUCAGCAUUAGGCAGCCGCCCUUGCACUGUGGGGGUUCUUGUGCCUGUUAGAAUUCCUGCUCCAUGAUUGCAGUCAUGGGAUUUUUGUCUUUCACAUGACGUGGUAUGUUUUGACUCCACAGAGUGGGAAGUGACGGAGACAGAAUGUUUGUGUUACUGUGUUCCGCGAAGAGGGACUAUUGUCCUUUGUUUUUUCCCCUCUUUGCUGUCUGAUGCUAGAGAGAGAAGGAGCCAUGUUGCAGUGCUCCGUGUAUGUUUAUAUGUAAAUAAAGUAGAUUAGCCAAAAUGCUGAGUUGCUGAGUGGUGGAAAUGACUGGCAGAAUCCAAGACCAGGGAGAAGAGUCGGUGGAAGAAGAUUGGAAGAAAUUUAAAGACUAUUUACAGAAAUACUGCAAAAUUAAUGAAUGUUAGAAUGAUGUCAGAAUGAAAUUAAGUGGUCUUAGCAACAAUGUUAUAAAGGUGUAUGCACAAAUGGAUUGUUAACAGAUGAGAAUCUAAAGUUAUAAUAUGUUAAGUUAAAGGAUUAAGAUAAAAACAAAGAGGGAAAGGAAUUGCUGAAUUAACUAAUAGAACUGGAAUACAAAAAGGGAGGUGUGAGGAAGUCAGGGAAGUAAGGAAAUGAAAUGUAAGUUAUGGAAAGAUCGAUGUGUUUUUCUUUUAAGUGUUUUUUAUCUUUUUUUUGUAUUUUGUAUUUUUUUUCUUUUUUUUCUUUUUUACCUAUGUAAUUUUUUCUUUGAAACUUUAAUACAUAUCAUUUAAAAAAUAAUAAUAAUGCUGAGUUGCUGAGGUCUGUCACGCAAGUUGCGCAAACUCUGUGGAUCCCUGUAUGUGCCGGUGUCGGUUGGCAUUGGUCGCUGUGAUGUUUGGGCUGAAGAAAGCUUUUGAAGCUCCCGAACGAAAGGCCAGGAGGGAGAGAACAUGCCAGUCGGGCAUGUGUCUCUGCCAAGGUCCUACUCGAGUGUAGGCUGAACUCCUGACAGUGCCCAAGGCUUCAUGGAAGAGGUGGGUUUUGAGCAAUAUUGGGGGUGGUGGUGGCAUCUCACAGUUAUGCUAUGCAAUGAAAGCUGUGCCCCUGUGCCAAGGCUAGCAGUGUUCUGUCCUUUUUUGGUGCCUGGCACAUGCUGGGUCAACAGAACCCACCAUGCCAGGCCAGCCUGCACCACCAACGCCACCGGGCAUGUGCAUGCAAGGCGCAGAGGGUUCAUGGAGCCUGUGCAAGAGCUUGGCCCUGGUCACUGGUGUGGCUGUGCUGUGCCCCUACCCCCCGUCCCCUCCCACAUGCUAUGGUCCAGGCCUUUUCCAAGGCCUUCUUAGUUACUGUCAGAUUGCAGCAUAAACCACAGACACUAAAAGUGGCAUGUGUGAAAGGGUACAGAUCAAUGAUGGUAUGGUGACCAUUGGAGACAGUCAGAGCACAAGAAUGAAAAUGCUUAAAAAUGGCAGAAAGGGCUUAUUAGAGAACAGAAGUCAAGGUUGUGUUUCAAGUUUGCCCUCAGAAGUGCCCUUUAAGCAUCUGCUCAUAUUGGCAUACCAGGCUUACUCCCGUGAGUUGUGCUUGUUGUUUAAUUUUGCCAGGACCUGGAAGUGAAUCCAGAAGACUCACAGUGGGGGCUAUGAAUCCUUAUCCUGCUGGUAGCGACCACGACAGGAUUCAGCGGCGGCAGCAGAUGGGUCACACCUUGGAUAAUUUUCCAGCCAAGAGCUUUUACAGAUGAAUGGAUUGCAUGAGCUGUGCCUAAAAGAAGCCUUUGCUUGUCCCUUUUACUGCAGAAGCAAGAACACAUCAACGCUUUGAGAGCAAAGUCUGAAAAGGAGAGAGGGGGGAAACAAGCCAUUUGUGUAAUAUCUUCCUGCCUUUGCAAAAAGCUCCGGUGUAAUGAUGUUAUUUAGUGAGCAGAUUUUGCUUUCUUUUGUUUUUCUUUUCACCUUGGUUUUGGAUUCAUGUGCACUAAAACAAUGUUUAGCAAAGAGAAGAAUAAUUGAUUUCUUGCAAUAUUGCACAAAGCUGCAUUGCAAAAAGUAACUUAAGUGAUCAUUUCAUAUGAUACUUUACUGAUCAGAAGCAAACUACUUUCCCCCUGAGCAAAUUCUGCUUAUUUGGCUCCCAUGUGUGUCUCCAGGGCAGCCUAAGAAUAUGAAUUUGCAACACUGGUCUGUGCUAAAACAGAUUUUCCCCUCAGCAUUAGCUUUUCCAUUCCAGCUGGUGUAUUUGAAGUAUUGUAAUGGGUUUUUGUCUUUCUUUUGAAAUAAUUGACAGCACCCACAAUUUCAUAGUGACCUCUCCAAAUUCUGUUUAAAAUGAGCAAACCCCAAAUUUUCUAGAUUGUUUUGGUUAGCAAUAAUGAUAUAAAUGUCUAUAGCAGUCUUUCCGAAGAAUCUCAACCUUGUGUCCCCAGAUGUUGUUUGACUACAACUCCCAUCAUUGCUAGCUAGCAGGACCAGUGGUCAGGGAUGAUGGGAGUUGUAGUCCAACAACGUCUGAGGACCCAAGGUUUAGAAAAGCUGGUCUAAAGGGUAAAAGCCAAAGCCUCUGAAAGCAGGAGACCAGUGAGGAAACAAUACAUGUACAGUCAUACCUCGGGUUGAAUGUGCUUCAAGAUGAGUGCGUUCGAGUUGCGCUCUGCGGCAACCCGGAAGUAACACAGUGUGUUACUUUCAGGUUUUGCCGCUUGCGCAUGCGCAGACGCUCAAAAUGAUGUCACGCGCAUGCGCAGAAGCGCCAAAACGUGACCCACGCACUCAUAGAUGCGCGGACACGGGUUACAUUUGCUUCUAGAUGUGAACGGGGCUCCGGAACGGAUCCCGUUUGCAUCUAGAGGUACCACUGUAUAGUAUUUUAAGUACAUUAUUUUAAGAUGUCUUAAUAUAGUUGGACGUUUUGACUUGCUGGUUGCCCUGCAGGGACAGUAUGCAACACUUAUAAUGAACUGAUAUCUUUAUUAAAGUACUAGAUGAACCAGUCUAUUUGAUUUUAUGCUCACUGAGCUUGUUCCCCAGGUGAGUGACUAGAAAAAGCACAAUAUCUUUAAAGUAGGUUUCCUGGUUUUCCACAUUGGAUCAACAUGUGCUUUAUUGCUUUGUUCUUUGGAAUUUGUAGUUGUAGCUUCGAUUGCUGUAGUGCUGAGGUUGAAAACUUGUGCCCUUCCAUAUUUGUUGGAUGACAUCUCGCAUCAUCCCUGUCCAUUGGCCAUUUUGGCUGGGCUGUUGGGAAUUGAAGUCCAACAACAUCUGGAGACUCACAAAUUGCCCACCUCUGCUAUAUAAAAAAAUAAAAAAAUUGUCCAGUAGCACCUUAGAGACCAACUAAGUUUGUUCUUAGGUGCUACUGGAUAUAUAUAUAUUUAUGCAUCAGACCAAUACGGCUACCUACCUACCUACCACCUCUGCUAUAAUAGGUCAUGAAAUGAAUUUGUAGCUUCAUAUUUCAUGGUGUUGUAUGUGGGGCAUUUCUUAAAUAUAGGAAACAUCUUGACAUCUUGUGAUUGAUCUCAAGCCUGUACUUUGCAGUUGCUGAUGGAAACAGAAUGAAGCAUUUAAUUUUGUUAAACAUGAAACUGCAAUGAAUUGGCAGCUGUGGAUUUGCUACCUAAACAGAACAGUGUCUUCCUGGGGGGGGGGCAUUAGAAGGGGCAUUUAUGCUUGUUCAAACUUGCUGAAAUGAAUUGCAGUUGCACAGAGAGCUAUGUGACUAUAAAAAGUGAUGAAUAUAUAUAUAUAUAUAUAUAUAUAUAUAUAUAUAUAUAUAUAUAUAUAUAUAUUCAUGACAGCAGAGGGCUAGGACCGAAAAUAACAAGCCUCAUUUUUGUAAUGUAUUGCCUGAAAUGCACAACAUGAUGCGGGGAGGAGGCACAAGAAAUAGAAUUGAAUGAGAAGGCUAAUCGUUCACUCUGAGAAAGAGUGGAGUGGAAUGCCAUGACAUGCAUUCCUAAGGCACAUUCAUUCACAUCAACACAUUGAACCCAGAGAACUGUGAUUCACUUGUAGUGGCACAUGACUUGCAGCACAUGUGUGAUGGUGCUGUGGGUUUCAUUUUAUGCCUGUUUUGUUGCUGGGUGCAUGUUCGAGCUUUGCAAAAGAUUGCAUGUAGUAAUUUGGGGGGGAGUGAUAGGAAAGCCAUUUCCAUUGCUGUGGAGAUUAGAAAACAAAACGUUAGCUGCUUAAUGUGAAGAUGCAUGUGCAGUCCAUGCACUGUUCCUUAAAUGAAGCAAAGAAAAGCAUGAAGUGUGUGCACGGGGAACAUUAGUAGCUCUUCUAGAUUGUAUUAGCACUCUAUGAAUUUGGGUGACUUGGAAAGCCGCGUUACAUCCUAGCACCACGAAACCCUAUCGUUGAGAUCUUUGUGCAAGAAUCAGAGGCACAUGUCUCUCCAUAGCUGUCAACUUUCAGAUUUGAAAAUAAGGGAUCAGCAUCCUCACCUGUCCCGGGGACAGCCUACGGGAUAUCUAACAAUCCGGGAUAGCAGCAGGAAGCAGUGGGAAACGGCGCUGGAAUGAGGGAAUUUCCCGCAAAAAAGGGGAAGGUUGACAGCUAUGCGUCUCUCUUGUGCUAGCACUUUGCUCAUCUGUAAGCAUUAGAGUGGGCGAUUGUUGUGUUUCUUUAAACUGGUCAGGGUGCAAAAUAAAUCAAUAGCAUAUUAAAAUUACAUCAGAAAGGAUCAAAUGAACAUUACAUUUUCUUUGUAUAUCAUAUGUAUGUUCCAGAUCCGCGAUUUUCAGACAGAAAGUGGUGCACAAAGUAUUGCUUCAUUGAAUCAGUAGAACAUGGCAUUCUGUAAACUGCGUGUCCAUUUGAAACAGCUCAUGUGAGUUUCAGUGAGAGUACAGGGCACGGUUACAAAUUAUGUUGAUUUUGGCUCGCUUUGAUACGAGGCAAAUGGAACAGAGAUUGCACAAUUGAUUUGUCACCAGAACUGUGUGGAAUGCUUUUGGAGCUGCUCCUGUUUCCCAGCGAGGGCAGAAUCCGCCGUGUGUUGUAAGUAGGCACGCUCGCUGCCUCCCUUAUGCAAGCUCCCAAGAGAUACACACCGCCUGACAUCUGUUCAAAGCCAUCGUCAACCUGAGCAGCUGAGAUGAGCCACUUAAUAAGCCUUGGGGAACUGUCACUAAAAAUUCCCCGUAAAGGAAGGCUGAGAAAAUAGGCCUAAUUCCACUGCUGGGGGAAAAAUAGGUCUCUGUGUUGUUUAGCUCCCUCUCCCCCUGUACCUCCCCCCACCCUAGAACAAAAGCAGCAGAUAUCAUGGGGCUAUUAGACCCAAGCGCUUCAUGCUGACAGCCAAACUCAGGGGGCACUUAGGGAGCCAUUAAUACCAGCUUUUAUCGGCACUUAGCUGCUCACUCAGAGCCCCAAAGUGAAAAGCAGAGGCAGAGGCUCACGAUCUUCAUCAAAGGUGUCUUCAGGUCCCAGGGAGAUUAGCUGUAUGAUUUGGGGUCAGAAUGACCAAGGCCAUUACCAUGGUGGCACUGGAAAGAAAACUUGAAUAUUGUUGUAAUUUCUCCUACUCUUUUUAAUAUGUUGUGUUGCUAUGGUGGGUGUUUUUAGCUUGUAUUGUGCAAGCAAUUCUGGUGAAACCCACUGUGGCGUUUGCCCAUUCCUUGUGAUUUUGUUUGUAUAGGGGGAUGGAAAUGGUUAAUGUAGAUUGACCAAUGAGAAAGCUCAGAGGCGGAGCAUGCCUGGUUUUGAGGCUUAGCCCAGGGGUUUUACCAUUGGGAGAUAGAGGAGUCAGAGUCAGACAGAGCCAGUAAGACGAACAUAGCGGUUGUGACAGCUAGAGUGAGAGACAGGGACAGAACUGAGAGAGAAGAGUGUGACACUGUGAGAUAGUGCCACAUCUAGUUAAGGGCGCACAUUUGAGAAACCGUUCUGAAUAUAUUUAAUACUUGUUUGUUCUUCAAUAAACUUUAAUCUUCGUUGCUGACUUUACAACCUGACCGAGACUCAGUAUUUCACCAGAAGAAACCUGAUUGGUGGCAACAGAAGAAUAAAGCAAUGGUGUACAGGUCAAUAGUCCGUGAAACGACCGGGGGCUCUGUACGAACACCAAAUCUGCCAAAUGUGUGAGGGUUGUUGGGGUUUUUUAGAUGUGGGAAUUUUGUUGGUAUUAAUUCCUUUCCUCUUCUACACUUUUUCCAGCAAAAAAAAGAAAAAAAAGCUUCAUGGCUGCUGUUUUCCCUCGAAGUGGAGAAAAUGCAGAUGUUGAGAUUCCCUUGCAACAGUAGGGAAUCAGGAAAUGCCAACUUCCCAGUAUCUUUUAUUUUAGUUAUUCCAUGCAAUAUGCAUCACAUGAUUCUACAGCCACAGAAACUAAUUGGUACUAUGUCCAUCAUUUUUUACAGUGCAGUCCUCCUAUGCACCUCCUAGCUCUGGGAGAUUAUAUACUUUCCAUGCAUAAGGUGCUAGGUUCAAUCUCCAGCAAAUCCAGGAAGAGUUGUGUUCUAUAGACUGAUGGGCUGGCAUGGUAUAAGGCAGCUCAGCAGUCGCUGCCACUGUCUUCAGUGGGGCUUAAUCUAAUGCAAGUGUGCAUAAACUUUGCCAAAUCUAUUGUCCUGUGGAUUGUAAAGUGUGAUCCAGGCUUGAGUAUCAAAGCAUAGUUCAGGGCAACACUGGAUUCAUUACAUUACAUGAAGAUAUUGAAUUAAACUGAAAACUGAGGC
Molecule: non-coding RNA, 10629 nt
Organism: Podarcis lilfordi (Lilford's wall lizard)
Lineage: Eukaryota; Metazoa; Chordata; Lepidosauria; Squamata; Lacertidae
Source: the annotation of a GenBank genome assembly